AUUACUCCUACGGGAGGCAGCAGUAGGGAAUCUUCCACAAUGGGCGAAAGUCUGACGGAGCAACGCCGCGUGAGUGAUGAAGGUUUUCGGAUCGUAAAGCUCUGUUGUUAGGGAAGAACAAGUGCCGUUUGAAUAAGGCGGCACCUUGACGGUACCUAACCAGAAAGCCACGGCUAACUACGUGCCAGCAGCCGCGGUAAUAAU
This 204-nucleotide ribosomal RNA is filed under the name uncultured bacterium. Its description in RNAcentral is "partial 16S ribosomal RNA". It matches the Rfam family "Bacterial small subunit ribosomal RNA", at positions 332 to 526 of the family's 1533-position model. The record is from RNAcentral.